This 281-nucleotide unclassified non-coding RNA is filed under the name Helotiales sp. RNAcentral describes it as "partial contains 5.8S ribosomal RNA, internal transcribed spacer 2, and large subunit ribosomal RNA". The stretch from base 1 to 71 matches the Rfam family "5.8S ribosomal RNA", at positions 84 to 154 of the family's 154-position model. The record is from RNAcentral. Lineage: Eukaryota; Fungi; Ascomycota; Leotiomycetes; Helotiales.
GUGAGUCAUCGAAUCUUUGAACGCACAUUGCGCCCCUUGGUAUUCCGGGGGGCAUGCCUGUUCGAGCGUCAUUGCAACCCUCAAGCCUGGCUUGGUAUUGGGCUUCGCCACUAACCUGGCGGGCCUUAAAAUCAGUGGCGGCGCCUCCGAGGCCCUGAGCGCAGUAAAUAUCCUCGCUAUAGGGACCCGGUGGCUACUGGCCAGCAACCCCAACUUUCCAAGUUUGACCUCGGAUCAGGUAGGGAUACCCGCUGAACUUAAGCAUAUCAAUAAGCGGAGGA